GGCCGAUGCUGCAAAGAGAGCUAUGGAAUAUUUUUCUGGAAAGAAAGAGGAAGCCAAGGAGAAGGCAUACGAGACAAAAGAAGUCGCAGAGGAAAAGAUGGGGGAAUCAGAGGAGGAUACAAGGAGGAGGAUGGAGGAUCUCAGGCUGCAGGGAGAAGGAAGGAGGGGCAGCAGAGAAGAAGCAAAAGUGACACUCGAACGUAAUAGGGGCGGUGGUGGCGCGGUGGUAGUAGGUCUGGAGGAGUCGCGGCCGGGGGCGUUGGCCUCAACUUU
This 273-nucleotide unclassified non-coding RNA is filed under the name Hevea brasiliensis (rubber tree). The record is from RNAcentral. Lineage: Eukaryota; Viridiplantae; Streptophyta; Magnoliopsida; Malpighiales; Euphorbiaceae.